CGCCCGUCGCUCCUACCGAUUGGGUGUGCUGGUGAAACGUUCGGAUUGGCGGCAGGAGGCGGUUCGCCGCACUCUGCCACCGAAAAGUUCAUUAAACCCUCCCACCUAGAGGAAGGAGAAGUCGUAACAAGGUUUCC
RNAcentral lists this ribosomal RNA (137 nucleotides) under uncultured Trebouxiophyceae. Its description in RNAcentral is "partial small subunit ribosomal RNA". It matches the Rfam family "Eukaryotic small subunit ribosomal RNA", at positions 1670 to 1804 of the family's 1831-position model. The record is from RNAcentral. Lineage: Eukaryota; Viridiplantae; Chlorophyta; Trebouxiophyceae.